AUAUUUUGUGGGAAUAAAGAGGGUAAAAUUCUCUGAUAAAGAACAACAGUGUCAGGAUGACUCAGGUGAGCGUUUUAGCCCAUGAACCUUUUGUUUUAUUAGACAGACGCAUUAUAUUGUGUUUUUUUUUUUUUGUUUAAGGGAGGAAAGUGAUCGCUGUAUCAACAUCAGAUAUCAGUAAAAAACUCUUUGAAUACUUUGUAUCUUCGAAUUCAUUCGAUUUACAAUUCACCUUCCAAUAUGAUGAUAAGAAGCGUUACACCAAUACAGAUGCUACCAAACCGCUCCUGAUAUUGUGCUGCAUUGUAUCAAGGGUAGACAAUGAUGUAAAAGCUGCUUUGGAAGGCCUAAAUCUUACAGACAGUAAUGCAAUGCUAGUGGUAAUGGGACACUGUGCCAAGAAUGUGGAACCUGAUCGACUUCUGAAGGAAAACCCUAACAACAUUAAAUGUUUCACUAAUAUUUUAAUUUGGAACGAGGAAGCUUAUGAAUGCGAUUUAAACAAGAAAGCUUGUAAAGAAAUCAAUGAAUAUUGCUCUAAGUUUUUUCCAAACGCCGAAACCCAAGAACCAGUUGGCGAAGAACAUGACCAAAUCCGGGUGGAUGGCAUUUCUGCAUCGACAUGUAUGUAAUUGAUUCAGUGUCAUAAACACAUGUGUAGCAUUAUUUACGAAUAAGUUCAAAUUCUUAAAUAUUAAAAUUAAAAUAUACUUUUCAAGGUUUUAUUUGUUUUACAAAUCAUUGUGAUACCCUUUGUGUGAAUUCAAAUAUUCUUUCUAAUUCAUUAUGUAAACCAAUUACAUAAGUAUCUAACUGCUGUUUCAUUUGGAUAUUUCUUUGGUAUGAAAGGCACAUGUCAGCUUGAUGUUGAAAUUAAAAUAAGAUGUUUUUGUAAAAUACAAAUGCCCCCGAUAAUGGCCAAUUUAAAAGAUGGCCAAUGUCACAAGGACAAAUAUAUUGGUACUAGUAGAAAGAUCUUGUCACAAGAACUGCUCAUGUGCAACAUGGAAGCUCUAAUAUAGAUUUACUAUUUAAAAGUUAUGACCAAUGUCAAUCUUUUAAAAAGUAGUUCAAAUUCCAAGGCCAAGGUCACAUGGUACAGAAUGCUGGUACCCACGGAAAGGUCUUGUCACAAUGAAUACGAAUGUGAAAUAUGAAAGCUCUAGUACUUAUUGUUCAAAAGUUAUUAGCAAGGUUAAAGUUUUCAAAAAGUAAGUCAAACUCCAAGGUCAAGGGCAAAGGGUAAAAUAUGUUGGUACCCACUGAAAUGUCUUAUCACAAGAGAUAUUUAUGUGAAAUAUCAAAGCUCUAGCAUUUACUGCUCAAAAGUUGUUAGCAAGGUUAUACUUUCAGACAGAAUGACAGACAGGACAAAAACAAUAUGCCCCCCCCCCCCCCGAUCUUCGAUCUCGGGGGCAUAAAGAGGUACAUUCGUACGUAGAUUAUAGAGAUGUGUUUCUAACAGAGAAUUUUCAUAUUCUAGGUUGAAAUAAAAUUAUGUUCUAAAACAGAUUUGUGUUUUAGAAACAUGCAUUCUAAAGCUGUAAUAUUGUAUAUUUGUAGUUUCAAUCUUUAGCAUUAGAAUCAAACAUUGAUGCUGACAGGCAUGCAUAUCGUUUUUCAUUUCCAAAGUUCAAUACAACUUCAUAAGCGAUGUGCAUUGUAAGAGAUAUGCUUAACUAAUCCUAGGCACCUGUUCCCACCCUGGUGUAUCCAAGUGUCUGUGUUUGCUUUACUCUUAAUUUUACGAAAUUGAUCACCAAUUGUUGUGUCCAUUUUUUCAUGAACAACAACACUGAGAUAUCUCAAAAGUUAGGUACCGUGGAAUAGCUAGCCGAGGAAUACCACUAACUUCUGGAGUGUCAUUUUUUUCCCGAGUUUAGGAAGAAACAUGUGCUUAAAAAGUUUUGUGACAAACCUUUUUUCUGUAUUAUUGUCAACUGCUGAAUCCAAUGUAUAUAAAAAAAAUUAUAUAAUCCAUAUUUAUCUCUGUUCACUCUCUAUUCUGGCGCUGUAUAUUGAUAUAUUUGUAUAUAUAAUAUUGUGCAUCUCAUAUACCAUUUUGUGGUUGGAGCCAAAUAAAUUGAAAUUGAA
Molecule: long non-coding RNA, 2094 nt
Organism: Ostrea edulis (European flat oyster)
Lineage: Eukaryota; Metazoa; Mollusca; Bivalvia; Ostreida; Ostreidae
Exons: 2
Source: RefSeq, a predicted model, not a curated record